Molecule: ribosomal RNA, 482 nt
Filed under: uncultured bacterium
Lineage: Bacteria
Description: bacterial SSU rRNA
Rfam family: Bacterial small subunit ribosomal RNA
Source: RNAcentral
AUUGAACGCUGGCGGCAUGCCUUACACAUGCAAGUCGAACGGUAACGGGCCUUCGGGUGCCGACGAGUGGCGAACGGGUGAGUAAUGCAUCGGAACGUACCUUUCAGUGGGGGAUAACGUAGCGAAAGUUACGCUAAUACCGCAUAUACUGUGAGCAGGAAAGCAGGGGAUCGCAAGACCUUGCGUUCGAGGAGCGGCCGAUGUCGGAUUAGCUAGUUGGUGGGGUAAAGGCCUACCAAGGCGACGAUCCGUAGCGGGUCUGAGAGGAUGAUCCGCCACACUGGGACUGAGACACGGCCCAGACUCCUACGGGAGGCAGCAGUGGGGAAUUUUGGACAAUGGGCGGAAGCCUGAUCCAGCCAUGCCGCGUGAGUGAAGAAGGCCUUCGGGUUGUAAAGCUCUUUCGGUGGGGAAGAAAUUGCACGGGCGAAUAACCUGUGUAGAUGACGGUACCCGGAGAAGAAGCACCGGCUAACUACGUG